This 442-nucleotide ribosomal RNA is filed under the name uncultured bacterium. RNAcentral's name for it is "partial 16S ribosomal RNA". It matches the Rfam family "Bacterial small subunit ribosomal RNA", at positions 338 to 795 of the family's 1533-position model. The record is from RNAcentral.
CCUACGGGUGGCUGCAGUGGGGAAUAUUGGGCAAUGGGCGCAAGCCUGACCCAGCAACGCCGCGUGAAGGAAGAAGGCUUUCGGGUUGUAAACUUCUUGUGACAGGGAAGAGGAGAAGACGGUACCUGUCGAAUAAGCCACGGCUAACUACGGGCCAGCAGCCGCGGUAAUACGGAGGUGGCAAGCGUUGUACGGAUUUACUGGGUGUAAAGGGCGGGUAGCCGGGUUGACAAGUCAGAUGUGAAAUCCUGAGGCUUAACCGCAGAACGGCAUUUGAAACUGUUGAUCUUGAGUACUGGAGAGGCCGCCGUAAUUCCUAGUGUAGCGGUGACUUCCGUACAUCUCUGGCGGAACAUCAGUGGCGAAGGCGACUCUCUGGCACAUACCUGACGCUGCGGAGCGAAAGCGUGGGUAGCAAACCGGAUUAGAUACCCCAGUAGUC